RNAcentral lists this ribosomal RNA (464 nucleotides) under uncultured bacterium. RNAcentral's name for it is "partial 16S ribosomal RNA". It matches the Rfam family "Bacterial small subunit ribosomal RNA", at positions 339 to 795 of the family's 1533-position model. The record is from RNAcentral.
CUACGGGUUGCUGCAGUGGGGAAUAUUGGACAAUGGGGGAAACCCUGAUCCAGCAAUGCCGCGUGUGUGAAGAAGGCCUGCGGGUUGUAAAGCACUUUCGGUUGGGAGGACUGCUUCUAGCACUAAUAUUGUUGGAAGUUGACGUUACCUUCAGAAGAAGCACCGGCUAACUCCGUGCCAGCAGCCGCGGUAAUACAGAGGGUGCAAGCGUUAUCGGAAUUACUGGGCGUAAAGCGCGCGUAGGCGGCUAGAUCAGUCGGGUGUGAAAGCCCCGGGCUUAACCGGGGAACUGCAUCCGAUACUGUCUAGCUUGAGUACAGGAGAGGAGAGUGGAAUUCCACAUGUAGCGGUGAAAUGCGUAGAUAUGUGGAGGAACACCAAUGGCGAAGGCAGCUCUCUGGCCUGAUACUGACGCUGAGGUGCGAAAGCGUGGGGAGCAAACAGGAUUAGAUACCCCAGUAGUC